GCGCUUCUCGCUUUCUUUGUUCUGGGAUUUGGACUCCUCCCCCGAGGUGCGCACCUCCUCCACCUCCCGCCACACCUCCUUCAGCUGGGCCUGCGGAGCGGAGCAUCCAGGUCCCUCCGGCCAGCUUCCCUGUCUGGUCUGUUGCCGACAGGAUCCAGAGGGGACGCUGACACUGAGUCAGACCCUGCCUGAGCCAAUCCCCAGUGAGGCCCUGCCAGCUGCAGACCUUGGGGAGCACCUCCAUAGAGGGAGUCCAGAGUGAAGGUGCACGAGGGGGUGAAUGAGUAAAAGAGGGAGCAAGGCUGCGGAUGAGGGGGUGCAGAGGCAGUCAGUGAGCUGCAGCUGGAUGCGCCCCCAUGGCACCCCCAGGCCUGCCCUACCUGCUUGGCCAGCUGCCGCCGCCUCUCCUCCCCAGCUUCGUCAUGGCCCUGCAGGUCGCGCUCAUGCUGGGCCUUGAGGGCCUGCACCGUCACCUCCAGGCGCAGCUUGGCAUCCUCAGCGGCCGUGAGCUCAUCCUCCAGCUCCGUCACCUGCGUCCGCAGGUCACUGGCUGUCUGUUCGGCCACCCGGCGGGCUCGUUCCAGCUCGUGCACCUGUGGGAGAAAAAUGAAGAGAACAAGGCUCAGAGGGGCUGAUCCAUCUGCCGGUGCCACACAGCCAGAGAGGAGCCGAGCUGGGACUCGAACCUCAGGGUUGCCUGAUCUUAGUGCUCUGGGGCGGUCUGGAGGCGGGAGUGGAG
Long non-coding RNA from Talpa occidentalis (Iberian mole), 739 nucleotides. RefSeq lists it as uncharacterized. NCBI's taxonomy places the organism in Eukaryota, Metazoa, Chordata, Mammalia, Eulipotyphla, Talpidae. The record is from RefSeq and is a predicted model, not a curated record. The transcript is spliced from 5 exons.